CUCAGAGAAACCCAGUGUCAGUGACAUCAUUAACCUUGAGAUGUUGCACAUUGGAGGAUCUAAACUGAAAUCAAGUAACACACAGUCAGGCUGGUCCUGUCCUUCCUGUACAUUCAUAAAUAAGUCUACGAGACCCGGCUGUGAAAUCUGCAGCACAGAUCGACCGAAUCCUCUCAAUCACAGCAGCGUUCAGCAGGAACAAGCAAGAAGAUCGAACCUGUGAAACUCAACAUACCAAGAUAUUUUGGACAAUGCUUUGCUCUAGCUUUAUGGGAUCAGUUUGAGGAAGGUUCUCUUCUAUUCCAGCAUGACUGUGCCUCAGUGCACAAAGCAAAGUCCAGAAAGACAUGGCUGGAUGAGUCUGGUGUGGAUGAACACAACAGAUCACAAAUGCUCAACUGGAUGAAUAAGCAAAAAUGCUUGUUUGAGACAUGACUCCAAAUGGGAUGCUAAUUCUGCAGAUGAUUUUCAUUCCUCUCCUGUGG
Molecule: long non-coding RNA, 485 nt
Organism: Cyprinus carpio (common carp)
Lineage: Eukaryota; Metazoa; Chordata; Actinopteri; Cypriniformes; Cyprinidae
Exons: 3
Source: RefSeq, a predicted model, not a curated record